Molecule: non-coding RNA, 25 nt
Filed under: Drosophila melanogaster (fruit fly)
Lineage: Eukaryota; Metazoa; Arthropoda; Insecta; Diptera; Drosophilidae
Source: RNAcentral
UGCUGAAGUAUUCGAUUACAUGGGG